This 366-nucleotide ribosomal RNA is filed under the name uncultured Geobacteraceae bacterium. RNAcentral describes it as "bacterial SSU rRNA". It matches the Rfam family "Bacterial small subunit ribosomal RNA", at positions 466 to 831 of the family's 1533-position model. Lineage: Bacteria; Pseudomonadati; Thermodesulfobacteriota; Desulfuromonadia; Geobacterales; Geobacteraceae. The record is from RNAcentral.
GGUUUGACGGUACCUAUAAAGGAAGCACCGGCUAACUCCGUGCCAGCAGCCGCGGUAAUACGGGGGGUGCAAGCGUUGUUCGGAAUUGUUGGGCGUAAAGCGCGUGUAGGCGGUCUGAUUAGUCUGAUGUGAAAGCCCUGGGCUCAACCCAGGAAGUGCAUUGGAUACUGUCAAACUUGAAUACGGGAGAGGGUAGUGGAAUUCCCAGUGUAGGAGUGAAAUCCGUAGAUAUUAGGAGGAACACCGGUGGCGAAGGCGGCUACCUGGACCGAUAUUGACGCUGAGACGCGAAAGCGUGGGUAGCAAACAGGAUUAGAUACCCUGGUAGUCCACGCCGUAAACGAUGAGAACUAGGUGUCGCGGGUA